GAUGAACGCUGGCGGUGUGCCUAAUACAUGCAAGUCGAGCGAAGAGGGGACGGGUGAGUAACACGUGGAUAACCUCCUAUAAGACUGGGAUAACCUCGGGAAACCGGAGCUAAAACGGAUACUUCUAGAAGGACCCGCGCUGCAUUAGCUAGUUGGUAAGCUAACGGCUUACAAAGGCAACGAUGCAUAGCCGACCGAAGAGGUGGACCAGCCAAACUUGAACUGAGACACGGUCCAGACUCCUACGGGAGGCAGCAGUAGGGAAUCUUCCGCAAUGGGCGAAAGCCUGACGGAGCAACGCCGCGUGAGUGAAGAAGGGCUUCGGAUCGUAAAACUCUGUCAGCAGGGAAGCGGUACCUAAUCAGAAAGCCACGGCUAACUACGUGCCAGCAGCCGCGGUAAUUC
Molecule: ribosomal RNA, 405 nt
Filed under: uncultured bacterium
Lineage: Bacteria
Description: partial 16S ribosomal RNA
Rfam family: Bacterial small subunit ribosomal RNA
Source: RNAcentral